RNA transcript from Rhinopithecus roxellana (golden snub-nosed monkey), 723 nucleotides. It is a transcript of the gene named ferritin heavy chain pseudogene, with no coding region annotated. The record is from RefSeq and is a predicted model, not a curated record. The transcript has a single exon. NCBI's taxonomy places the organism in Eukaryota, Metazoa, Chordata, Mammalia, Primates, Cercopithecidae.
UCCUUAGCCUCCGCCAUGACGACCGCGUCCACCUCACAGGUGCGCCAGAACUAGCACCAGGACUCAGAGGCCGCCAUCAACCGCCAGAUCAACCUGGAGCUCUACGCUUCCUACGUUUACCUGUCCAUGUCUUACCACUUUCACCGCGAUGAUGUGGCUUUGAAGAACUUUGCCAAAUACUUUCUUCACCAAUCUCACGAGGAAAGGGAACAUGCUGAGAAACUGAUGAAGCUGCAGAACCAAGGAGGUGGCCGAAUCUUCCUUCAGGAUAUUAAGAAACCAGACUAUGACGACUGGGAGAGCGGGCUGAAUGCGAUGGAGUGUGCUUUACAUUUGGAAAAAAAUGUGAAUCAGUCACUACUGGAACUGCACAAACUGGCCACUGACAGAAAUGACCCCCAUUUGUGUGACUUCAUUGAGACACAUUACCUGAAUGAGCAGGUGAAAGCCAUCAAAAAAAUUGGGUGACCACGUGACCAACUUGCGCAAGAUGGGAGCACCCAAAUCUGGCUUGGCAGAGUAUCUCUUUGACAAGUACACCCUGGGAGACAGUGAUAAUGAAAGCUAAGCCUCAGGCUAAUUUCCCCAUAGCCAUGAGGUGACUUCCCUGGUCAUCAAGGCAGUGCAUGCAUGUUGGGGUUUCCUUUACCUUGUCUAUAAGUUAUACCAAAACAUCCACUUAAGUUCUUUGAUUUGUACCAUUCCUUCAAAUAAAGAAAUUUG